Molecule: unclassified non-coding RNA, 243 nt
Filed under: uncultured Tetracladium
Lineage: Eukaryota; Fungi; Ascomycota
Description: sequence contains 5.8S rRNA gene
Rfam family: 5.8S ribosomal RNA (bases 1-53)
Source: RNAcentral
GAACGCACAUUGCGCCCCCUGGUAUUCCGGGGGGCAUGCCUAUUCGAGCGUCAUUAUCACCCCUCAAGCCUAGCUUGGUGUUGAGGCCUGCUGUCAAGGCAGCCUCUAAAAUCAGUGGCAGUGCUGUCAGGCUCUAAGCGUAGUAAAAUAAAUCGCUAUAGGGUCCUGGUGGACACUCGUCAGAACCCCCCCAUUUUUCAAUGAUUGACCUCAAAUCGAGUAGGACUACCCGCUGAACUUAAG